UGUGUAUUCCUGAUGCUCAUUCCGUUCGGCGAGAAUGCGCAUCAGGAAUACACACA
RNAcentral lists this microRNA precursor (56 nucleotides) under Heligmosomoides polygyrus. Its description in RNAcentral is "microRNA hpo-mir-10131 precursor". Lineage: Eukaryota; Metazoa; Nematoda; Chromadorea; Rhabditida; Heligmosomidae. The record is from miRBase by way of RNAcentral.